CCUUUACCUCUUGUUCCUCAUCCGAUGAUGAUGAUGAUGAAUCGGAGUCCGACAAAGUGGAGACGAGGACUUUCUUUUUCUUAUGUUUGCUGCCCUUCUUAAGCAAGGGACAGUCAACUCUAAAAUGUCCCGGCUUCUUGCAUUCAUAGCAUCCGAUUCAUUCACUUUCCCUUUUCUUACCUUUAUCCUUGUUGUAGGAACUUAAGGGACCUCUCCUCUGAUGAAAGGACUUCUUCCGGUUGGUGAAUUUUCUGAACAUUCGCACGAAAAGAGCCUCAUCAUCAUCUUCCUCAUUAUCUUCUUCUUCGCUGCUGCUACUGCAAGAUAAAUCCUUGUUAGACAAAGUAGAUUUGAGGGCUAUUACCUUUUUCUUAUGCGAGGAUUCUUCUUCGCUGUGUUGUUUCAUUGUGAGCUCGUGCGUCAUCAGGGAUCCAAGAAGCUCUUCAAGUGGAAGUGUCAGGAUCAAGCGCUACCAUUAUACCAAAACCCGCAGGUGUUAGUGAAGGCGCAACUUUAUUUUCUUAAACUAGCGCAGGGGCCCAUAGCGCCACGAGUC
This 556-nucleotide long non-coding RNA is filed under the name Phoenix dactylifera (date palm). Its description in RNAcentral is "long non-coding RNA (PDAC_LNC021173)". The record is from RNAcentral. Lineage: Eukaryota; Viridiplantae; Streptophyta; Magnoliopsida; Arecales; Arecaceae.